AUUGAACGCUGGCGGCAUGCUUUACACAUGCAAGUCGAACGGUAACAGGUCUUCGGAUGCUGACGAGUGGCGAACGGGUGAGUAAUACAUCGGAACGUGCCUAGUAGUGGGGGAUAACUACUCGAAAGAGUAGCUAAUACCGCAUGAGAUCUACGGAUGAAAGCAGGGGACCUUCGGGCCUUGUGCUACUAGAGCGGCUGAUGGCAGAUUAGGUAGUUGGUGGGGUAAAGGCUUACUAAGCCUGCGAUCUGUAGCUGGUCUGAGAGGACGACCAGCCACGCUGGGACUGAGGAACGGCCCAGACUCCGAGGGGAGGCAGCAGUGGGGAAUUUUGGACAAUGGGCGAAAGCCUGAUCCAGCAAUGCCGCGUGCAGGAUGAAGGCCCUCGGGUUGUAAACUGCUUUUGUACGGAACGAAAAGCCUGGGGCUAAUAUCCCCGGGUCAUGACGGUACCGUAAGAAUAAGCACCGGCUAACUACGUGCCAGCCGCCGCCGUAA
Molecule: ribosomal RNA, 498 nt
Filed under: uncultured bacterium
Lineage: Bacteria
Description: partial 16S ribosomal RNA
Rfam family: Bacterial small subunit ribosomal RNA
Source: RNAcentral